Molecule: non-coding RNA, 58 nt
Organism: Larimichthys crocea (large yellow croaker)
Lineage: Eukaryota; Metazoa; Chordata; Actinopteri; Sciaenidae
Source: Rfam
GGCACUGUGGCUUAGUUGGUCAAAGCUCCUGUCUCUGGCUCAAAUCCCAGCAGUGCCU